AGAGUUUGAUCCUGGCUCAGGAUGAACGCUGGCGGCGUGCCUAAUACAUGCAAGUCGAGCGAACGGACGAGAAGCUUGCUUCUCUGAUGUUAGCGGCGGACGGGUGAGUAACACGUGGAUAACCUACCUAUAAGACUGGGAUAACUUCGGGAAACCGGAGCUAAUACCGGAUAAUAUUUUGAACCGCAUGGUUCAAAAGUGAAAGACGGUCUUGCUGUCACUUAUAGAUGGAUCCGCGCUGCAUUAGCUAGUUGGUAAGGUAACGGCUUACCAAGGCAACGAUGCAUAGCCGACCUGAGAGGGUGAUCGGCCACACUGGAACUGAGACACGGUCCAGACUCCUACGGGAGGCAGCAGUAGGGAAUCUUCCGCAAUGGGCGAAAGCCUGACGGAGCAACGCCGCGUGAGUGAUGAAGGUCUUCGGAUCGUAAAACUCUGUUAUUAGGGAAGAACAUAUGUGUAAGUAACUGUGCACAUCUUGACGGUACCUAAUCAGAAAGCCACGGCUAACUACGUGCCAGCAGCCGCGGUAAUACGUAGGUGGCAAGCGUUAUCCGGAAUUAUUGGGCGUAAAGCGCGCGUAGGCGGUUUUUUAAGUCUGAUGUGAAAGCCCACGGCUCAACCGUGGAGGGUCAUUGGAAACUGGAAAACUUGAGUGCAGAAGAGGAAAGUGGAAUUCCAUGUGUAGCGGUGAAAUGCGCAGAGAUAUGGAGGAACACCAGUGGCGAAGGCGACUUUCUGGUCUGUAACUGACGCUGAUGUGCGAAAGCGUGGGGAUCAAACAGGAUUAGAUACCCUGGUAGUCCACGCCGUAAACGAUGAGUGCUAAGUGUUAGGGGGUUUCCGCCCCUUAGUGCUGCAGCUAACGCAUUAAGCACUCCGCCUGGGGAGUACGACCGCAAGGUUGAAACUCAAAGGAAUUGACGGGGACCCGCACAAGCGGUGGAGCAUGUGGUUUAAUUCGAAGCAACGCGAAGAACCUUACCAAAUCUUGACAUCCUUUGACAACUCUAGAGAUAGAGCCUUCCCCUUCGGGGGACAAAGUGACAGGUGGUGCAUGGUUGUCGUCAGCUCGUGUCGUGAGAUGUUGGGUUAAGUCCCGCAACGAGCGCAACCCUUAAGCUUAGUUGCCAUCAUUAAGUUGGGCACUCUAAGUUGACUGCCGGUGACAAACCGGAGGAAGGUGGGGAUGACGUCAAAUCAUCAUGCCCCUUAUGAUUUGGGCUACACACGUGCUACAAUGGACAAUACAAAGGGCAGCGAAACCGCGAGGUCAAGCAAAUCCCAUAAAGUUGUUCUCAGUUCGGAUUGUAGUCUGCAACUCGACUACAUGAAGCUGGAAUCGCUAGUAAUCGUAGAUCAGCAUGCUACGGUGAAUACGUUCCCGGGUCUUGUACACACCGCCCGUCACACCACGAGAGUUUGUAACACCCGAAGCCGGUGGAGUAACCUUUU
RNAcentral lists this ribosomal RNA (1455 nucleotides) under Staphylococcus aureus. Its description in RNAcentral is "bacterial SSU rRNA". It matches the Rfam family "Bacterial small subunit ribosomal RNA". Lineage: Bacteria; Bacillati; Bacillota; Bacilli; Caryophanales; Staphylococcaceae. The record is from RNAcentral.